UGCGGAGGAUGCAAGCGUUAUCCGGAAUGAUUGGGCGUAAAGGGUCCGCAGGUGGCAGUGUAAGUCUGCUGUCAAAGAAUGAGGCUUAACCUCAUCAAGGCAGUGGAAACUACACAGCUAGAGUACGGUCGGGGUAGAAGGAAUUCCUGGUGUAGCGGUGAAAUGCGUAGAGAUCAGGAAGAACACCGGUGGCGAAAGCGUUCUGCUAGACCUGUACUGACACUGAGGGACGAAAGCUAGGGGAGCGAAUGGG
Molecule: ribosomal RNA, 253 nt
Filed under: uncultured bacterium
Lineage: Bacteria
Description: partial 16S ribosomal RNA
Rfam family: Bacterial small subunit ribosomal RNA
Source: RNAcentral